This 441-nucleotide ribosomal RNA is filed under the name uncultured Veillonella sp. RNAcentral's name for it is "bacterial SSU rRNA". It matches the Rfam family "Bacterial small subunit ribosomal RNA", at positions 349 to 782 of the family's 1533-position model. Lineage: Bacteria; Bacillati; Bacillota; Negativicutes; Veillonellales; Veillonellaceae. The record is from RNAcentral.
CAGCAGUGGGGAAUCUUCCGCAAUGGACGAAAGUCUGACGGAGCAACGCCGCGUGAGUGAUGACGGCCUUCGGGUUGUAAAGCUCUGUUAAUCGGGACGAAUAGUUCUUGUGCAAAUAGUGCGAGGAUUUGACGGUACCGGAAUAGAAAGCCACGGCUAACUACGUGCCAGCAGCCGCGGUAAUACGUAGGUGGCAAGCGUUGUCCGGAAUUAUUGGGCGUAAAGCGCGCGCAGGCGGAUUGGUCAGUCUGUCUUAAAAGUUCGGGGCUUAACCCCGUGAUGGGAUGGAAACUGCCAAUCUAGAGUAUCGGAGAGGAAAGUGGAAUUCCUAGUGUAGCGGUGAAAUGCGUAGAUAUUAGGAAGAACACCAGUGGCGAAGGCGACUUUCUGGACGAAAACUGACGCUGAGGCGCGAAAGCCAGGGGAGCGAACGGGAUUAGA